This 465-nucleotide ribosomal RNA is filed under the name uncultured bacterium. RNAcentral describes it as "partial 16S ribosomal RNA". It matches the Rfam family "Bacterial small subunit ribosomal RNA", at positions 28 to 506 of the family's 1533-position model. The record is from RNAcentral.
GAUGAACGCUGGCGGCGUGCUUAACACAUGCAAGUCGAACGGAAAGGCCAGUGCUUGCCCUGGUACUCGAGUGGCGAACGGGUGAGUAACACGUGGGUGAUCUGCCCUGUACUUCGGGAUAAGCUUGGGAAACUGGGUCUAAUACCGGAUAGGACAACUUUUUGGAUAUUGUUGUGGAAAGCUUUUGCGGUAUGGGAUGAGCUCGCGGCCUAUCAGCUUGUUGGUGGGGUAAUGGCCUACCAAGGCGUCGACGGGUAGCCGGCCUGAGAGGGUGUACGGCCACAUUGGGACUGAGAUACGGCCCAGACUCCUACGGGAGGCAGCAGUGGGGAAUAUUGCACAAUGGGCGCAAGCCUGAUGCAGCGACGCCGCGUGGGGGAUGAAGGCCUUCGGGUUGUAAACUCCUUUCGCUAGGGACGAAGCGCAAGUGACGGUACCUGGAGAAGAAGCACCGGCUAACUACGU